UACGUAGGGUCCGAGCGUUGUCCGGAAUUAUUGGGCGUAAAGGGCUCGUAGGCGGUUCGUCACGUCGGGAGUGAAAACUCGGGGCUUAACCCCGAGCCUGCUUCCGAUACGGGCAGACUAGAGGUAGGCAGGGGAGAGCGGAACUCCUGGUGUAGCGGUGGAAUGCGCAGAUAUCAGGGAGAACACCCGUGGCGAAGGCGGCUCUCUGGGACGGUACUGACGCUGAGACGCGAAAGCGUGGGGAGCGAACAGG
RNAcentral lists this ribosomal RNA (253 nucleotides) under uncultured bacterium. RNAcentral describes it as "partial 16S ribosomal RNA". It matches the Rfam family "Bacterial small subunit ribosomal RNA", at positions 524 to 776 of the family's 1533-position model. The record is from RNAcentral.